UGGGGAGCGAACAGGAUUAGAUACCCUGGUAGUCCACGCCGUAAACGAUGGAUACUAGCUGUUCGGUUUUCGGACUGAGUGGCUAAGCGAAAGUGAUAAGUAUCCCACCUGGGGAGUACGUUCGCAAGAAUGAAACUCAAAGGAAUUGACGGGGGCCCGCACAAGCGGUGGAGCAUGUGGUUUAAUUCGAUGAUACGCGAGGAACCUUACCAGGGCUUAAAUGUAGAUUGACAGAUUUGGAAACAGAUUUUUCUUCGGACAAUUUACAAGGUGCUGCAUGGUUGUCGUCAGCUCGUGCCGUGAGGUGUCAGGUUAAGUCCUAUAACGAGCGCAACCCCUAUUGUUAGUUACCAGCGCGUAGUGGCGGGGACUCUAGCAAGACUGCCGGUGCAAACCGUGAGGAAGGUGGGGAUGACGUCAAAUCAUCACGGCCCUUACGUCCUGGGCUACACACGUGCUACAAUGGCAAGUACAGAAAGCAGCUACCUGGCAACAGGAUGCGAAUCUCCAAAGCUUGUCUCAGUUCGGAUUGGAGUCUGCAACUCGACUCUAUGAAGCUGGAAUCGCUAGUAAUCGGAUAUCAGCCAUGAUCCGGUGAAUACGUUCCCGGGCCUUGUACACACCGCCCGUCAAGCCAUGGAAGCUGGGGGUACCUGAAGUCGGUGACCGC
RNAcentral lists this ribosomal RNA (670 nucleotides) under Myroides sp. RNAcentral's name for it is "bacterial SSU rRNA". It matches the Rfam family "Bacterial small subunit ribosomal RNA", at positions 762 to 1437 of the family's 1533-position model. Lineage: Bacteria; Pseudomonadati; Bacteroidota; Flavobacteriia; Flavobacteriales; Flavobacteriaceae. The record is from RNAcentral.